RNAcentral lists this ribosomal RNA (400 nucleotides) under uncultured bacterium. RNAcentral describes it as "bacterial SSU rRNA". It matches the Rfam family "Bacterial small subunit ribosomal RNA", at positions 356 to 773 of the family's 1533-position model. The record is from RNAcentral.
GGGGAAUAUUGGACAAUGGGGGAAACCCUGAUCCAGCAAUGCCGCGUGAAUGAAGAAGGCCUUAGGGUUGUAAAGUUCUUUUGUCCGUGACGAUAAUGACGGUAGCGGACGAAUAAGCCCUGGCUAACUCUGUGCCAGCAGCCGCGGUAAUACAGAGAGGGCAAGCGUUGUCCGGAAUGACUGGGCGUAAAGCGCGCGCAGGCGGUCUUUUAAGUUGGAUGUGAAAUCCCCGGGCUUAACCUGGGAACUGCAUUCGAUACUGGGAGACUAGAGGCCGAGAGAGGAAAGCGGAAUGACGAGUGUAGAGGUGAAAUUCGUAGAUAUUCGUCGGAACACCAGAGGCGAAGGCGGCUUUCUGGCUCGGACCUGACGCUCAGGCGCGAAAGCGUGGGGAGCAAAC